CUCAAUUAAUUGAGUUAUUUUUUAUUGUUUGAUAUUAUUUCUUGUUAUAUAUGCUGAUGAGUGAUGACUGCUUCAAUAGGUUAAUUGUUUUGAGGAUGAUGAGCCAAUUGGCUAAGCAUAACUUAACAAAAGCAGAUUAUAUUAAUUAUCAAGAUAAGAAGAAGCUCAAUUUCCUUGAUGAUCUGACUCAUGCUAAACCUGAUAUGGUUUUCUUUUUACCACUUACAGGUGUUUCUCAUCAUAAGAAGGCGCGUGGUUGUUUUUGAUAAAUUCCUACAAAACAUGUGCAUGCUUACACAAGGGUUAACAGCUUCAAUUUUUCAAAAAACAAAAAUUACUAAUAUAAGAUUAUCUGCUUGCUUCAGAAUUGUCUGAAUUGGUUAGAUGUGAAACUCUAUCUCAUGUAUCAAUAAAUGCCUUCCUCGAUGCUGACUGGUCACUGGUUGAGAAUACUGAAGACUAGAAGAAAUACAUUUGUGCCUGGAAGUCAAGGCACUGCAAUCAUUGCACCAAAACCAAUUCGCGCGACUCCUGACCUUGUUACCGGAUUGGAGGAUUUGUCUCAGCCAUGAACUCAGUCCCUCAACUGAUCAAAUGGAUAUUUGCUCGCAAAACCUCUGUUAAAUUAUCUUUGUAAAGCUCUAGUCCAAACACAGUAGGAAGGAGGGAGGGGGGAGAAGAGUUAGCCAGAAGAGCUUGUUUGUAACCCGCCUUUUGUAUUAUACAUUUAUUUUUAUUAUAUAAUAUUUGAUUAAUUUAA
Molecule: non-coding RNA, 760 nt
Organism: Arachis ipaensis
Lineage: Eukaryota; Viridiplantae; Streptophyta; Magnoliopsida; Fabales; Fabaceae
Source: RefSeq, a predicted model, not a curated record